AUCUUGUGUGCUAGAAAGCCUGUAUAGAAGCACGGAACUUGGCAAUGUCACCCCCGCAUCACAUUUUCGGACCAGCAGUUUCCACUGGACCUCUGUCUGGAGCAUGAGAGGUGCAGCAGCCUACUCUGCCCCGCCCAGUACUACUGAUCCUAGAUCUGCACUUGAAAGGUUCUCCAGGUGACCUCUUCACACUUAUGCUCCGGAGGCCUUGCAGUGAGUGCUCCGCCUAAGAACAGGAGGUUGCAAAGUUCAAGUUUUAAUUGUGACCCUCAUGGCCACAAACAUUGCCUACAGGAUGUAUCUUUAAGUGCUUUAAAUCUAAGAAGUCUUUUAAUCACUUGCCUUGGAUAACAAACAAUUUAUAAUAACGAUUCACUUUACCCUAUCUGUAUCUCUUAAAGUAAAAGCUGGGGCAGUAAAAUGCUUUUGUGAAAAUUGUCAACAGUGGGUCUCUCAGGAACCCAGGGGAUGGCACACUACUGUUUGACGUUUCAGUCUACUUCUGUACCUUUUGAACUUCAAUAAUACGUAUUUUUUUUUUUUAUUAAAGGGAUUGUGAAAGGAGAUGAUGGAGAAAAUUGGGCAUCUUCUCUGACUGGACAAUUUAGUUUCCUUAUUUAAUAAAAGUAUCUGAGAAAUGUCCUCUUACACAGAGAAUUAUCUUUUCUUUCUUUUGGAAGGCCAAGCAAUAUCCAACACAAUUCCGUUAGCACACUCACACUCAGCGGUGUGCAGGAGAACAUCUGAGCAGGUCCUGACUUUGAAGCACUGUUACUCUUACAGAAUGCUCUCCGGUUAUUCACGUAAGCCUGUUUAUCAUGCCCUAUAAAGGGGAUCUUUCAGAAUUACUUGAAAGCAAGGGAGGAGAAAACACUCAAAUUUCCUUAGCUAUUCAUACCUAAGAUCUCCCCUCUUAAAGAGAGAACACUAAGUCAAUAGACAGAAGCAAUAGUAUAUUACUUCAUCCUGUAUGUGAUUUAUUGCAGAUAGAAAUCAUCGAGAAGCUGAAUUACUUGGAAUGUUUUACUACCGACAUUAAAGUUCCGGAUUUGGAUACCUGCACACCUUAGAGUGGUCCUGAAAACCACUUUCUGCAGACUCAGAAGAUAAUUCUGUAACUUCGUGCAACCCCAUCGACCUACAAAGAAACAGCGGCCAUUUUCAAAGUGACCGGUGCCUAGCUCCAAACCGCCUGCCUGACGGGGCUUUGACAUGUAUCCAGUCUCACCUGAUAAUCAGUUGCUCUCAGUCACAGCUACUUCCCAUCAUGUUCCAAGCAUGUGCUAAUUCAUGCUAAGACCUGAUCCUAACACAUCUUGUAUUUCUUUUUUUUUUUUUUUUAAAGCUUUCAUGAUCACCUUUGAUUGAAGUGUUAUCUCAGAUUCUACUUCUCAAUGGAACCUAAGAACUAACAGGGCCAAAAAUACAGCACGCUGUUUAGCAAUUAUGUAUUCGAGAUGUUGGUGGAGGUCAAGGGGCACUCCCAUGUCCUGGGCUAUGGAUAGGUCUCUGAUUAGCUUGUCAUCUGCUUGGAAGAAGAUGUAGGCUGAUUCUCUCUUAUAGUGCAGCGGGCCAGCUGUUAGCUGCCUGUCAAGCCCUCAAGUGGACAAGAAGUCCAGGAGCAAGAAUGUCACUCCUUUGAUCUGGCAAGGAGCAGCUGCUGAUUUAUAGAGUGGGACUUUGUUCUUCCGUUCUAUUUUACUUUCUUUCCUAAGGCAGAACCACAAAAUCCAGGAGAAAAAAAAGUGCCGUUCCCAGCAACAUCAACAAGCUCUGACAACUACAACAGGGUUUUUC
Non-coding RNA from Rattus norvegicus (Norway rat), 1797 nucleotides. Lineage: Eukaryota; Metazoa; Chordata; Mammalia; Rodentia; Muridae. The record is from RefSeq and is a predicted model, not a curated record.